GAGUUUGAUCCUGGCUCAGAACGAACGCUGGCGGCGUGCCUAACACAUGCAAGUCGAACGGAUUUGAGGAGCUUGCUUCUCAAGUUAGUGGCGCACGGGUGAGUAACGCGUAGAUAAUYUGCCUGAUGAUCUGGGAUAACACUUCGAAAGGGGUGCUAAUACCGGAUAAGCCCACGGAGUCUUUGGACUUUGCGGGAAAAGGGGGGGACCUUCGGGCCUUCUGUCAUCAGAUGAGUCUGCGUACCAUUAGCUAGUUGGUAGGGUAAAGGCCUACCAAGGCUACGAUGGUUAGCUGGUCUGAGAGGAUGAUCAGCCACACUGGACUGAGACACGGCCCCGACUCCUACGGGAGGCAGCAGCAAGGAAUCUUGCGCAAUGGGCGAAAGCCUGACGCAGCGACGCCGCGUGAGGGAUGAAGGCCUUCGGGUCGUAAACCUCUUUUUCUGGGGAAGAGUAAGGACGGUACUCAGAGAAUAAGCCCCGGCUAACUACGURCCAGCAGCCGCGGUWAUUCAAGCRCGCACUGGAAACASCUAUGACCMYGAWUYCGSAUYCACWSGCCGUCGUUUACAACCWCAUGAAACAGCUAKAACAUUSCC
RNAcentral lists this ribosomal RNA (599 nucleotides) under uncultured Geobacteraceae bacterium. RNAcentral describes it as "partial 16S ribosomal RNA". The stretch from base 1 to 524 matches the Rfam family "Bacterial small subunit ribosomal RNA", at positions 9 to 546 of the family's 1533-position model. Lineage: Bacteria; Pseudomonadati; Thermodesulfobacteriota; Desulfuromonadia; Geobacterales; Geobacteraceae. The record is from RNAcentral.